RNAcentral lists this ribosomal RNA (346 nucleotides) under uncultured fungus. RNAcentral describes it as "SSU rRNA". It matches the Rfam family "Eukaryotic small subunit ribosomal RNA", at positions 21 to 371 of the family's 1831-position model. The record is from RNAcentral. Lineage: Eukaryota; Fungi.
UGUAGUCAUAUGCUUGUCUCAAAGAUUAAGCCAUGCAUGUCUAAGUAUAAGCAAUUAUACAGCGAAACUGCGAAUGGCUCAUUAUAUAAGUUAUCGUUUAUUUGAUAGCACCUUACUACUUGGAUAACCGUGGUAAUUCUAGAGCUAAUACAUGCUAAAAAUCCCGACUUCGGAAGGGAUGUAUUUAUUAGAUUAAAAACCAAUGCCUUCGGGCUUUCUGGUGAUUCAUAAUAACUUCUCGAAUCGCACGGCCUUGCGCCGGCGAUGGUUCAUUCAAAUUUCUUCCCUAUCAACUUUCGAUGCGUAGGUCUUGUCUUCGCAUGGUUACAACGGGUAACGGGGAAUG